UAGGGAAUCUUCCACAAUGGACGCAAGUCUGAUGGAGCAACGCCGCGUGAGUGAAGAAGGUUUUCGGACCGUAAAGCUCUGUUGUUGGUGAAGAAGGAUAGAGGUAGUAACUGGCCUUUAUUUGACGGUAAUCAACCAGAAAGUCACGGCUAACUACGUGCCAGCAGCCGCGGUAAUACGUAGGUGGCAAGCGUUGUCCGGAUUUAUUGGGCGUAAAGCGAGCGCAGGCGGAGGAAUAAGUCUGAUGUGAAAGCCCUCGGCUUAACCGAGGAAUUGCAUCGGAAACUGUUUUCUUGAGUGCAGAAGAGGAGAGUAGAACUCCAUGUGUAGCGGUGGAAUGCGUAGAUAUAUGGAAGAAUACCAGUGGCGAAGGCGGCUCUCUGGUCUGCAACUGACGCUGAGGCUCGAAAGCAUGGGUAGCGAACAGGAUUAGAUACCCUGGUAGUCCAUGCCGUAAACGAUGAGUGCUAAGUGUUGGGAGGCUUCCGCCUCUCAGUGCUGCAGCUAACGCAUUAAGCACUCCGCCUGGGGGAGUACGACCGCAAGGUUGAAACUCAAAGUGAAUUGAC
This 569-nucleotide ribosomal RNA is filed under the name uncultured bacterium. RNAcentral describes it as "partial 16S ribosomal RNA". It matches the Rfam family "Bacterial small subunit ribosomal RNA", at positions 355 to 914 of the family's 1533-position model. The record is from RNAcentral.